This 252-nucleotide ribosomal RNA is filed under the name uncultured bacterium. RNAcentral describes it as "partial 16S ribosomal RNA". It matches the Rfam family "Bacterial small subunit ribosomal RNA", at positions 524 to 776 of the family's 1533-position model. The record is from RNAcentral.
UACAGAGGGUGCAAGCGUUAAUCGGAAUUACUGGGCGUAAAGCGUGCGUAGACGGUUACAUAAGUCGGGUGUGAAAGCCCCGGGCUCAACCUGGGAAUUGCAUUCGAGACUGCGUAGCUAGGGUGCGGAAGAGGGAAGCGGAAUUUCCGGUGUAGCGGUGAAAUGCGUAGAUAUCGGAAGGAACACCAGUGGCGAAAGCGGCUCCCUGGUCCAGCACCGACGUCAGGCACGAAAGCGUGGGGAGCAAACAGG